AGACUUGAAACCGUUUAGGGGUAAACCUGAGAAACCCGAAAGGUCGAAGGGAGAAAUUCAUUCGCGUUUCGCCGUUGGCGUGAGACGGUCGAGUGACGAAAGACGUUCGCGUUUUUCGCGCCUUCCGUUUUUCGAUCCGAUAGCGAACGCGUGCACUUUUCUCCUGGUAGGACGUCGCGAUCCGUUGGGUGUCGGUCUAAGGCUCGCGGUGGAGCCCGAGUGUGCUUUCGCACGUUCGGACCCGCGUGUCCCGGCCGACUCGCUCGACGGUAUACGAAAGGUUUAAGGCCGCUCUCAGAGCGUUCGGCUCGUCGCAAGCGCGUCAGAUGUUGUCGGCGAUCGGACCUAGUGCCGGUUCUGACCACUGGCGACUGUUGGCGGCGAAGUUCUCGAACAGACCUUUGACCGAUCUGCGACGCUAUAGCUUUGGGUACUUUCAGGACCCGUCUUGAA
RNAcentral lists this ribosomal RNA (453 nucleotides) under Protostrophus sp. CND758. Its description in RNAcentral is "eukaryotic LSU rRNA". Lineage: Eukaryota; Metazoa; Arthropoda; Insecta; Coleoptera; Curculionidae. The record is from RNAcentral.